AAACAUCUUUUAGCUUUUAGGAAAAGAAAAAAAAAGGCAAAAGAUGUUUGGUAAUCUUAUAAAAGCUACUUUUUAUAUAAGAAAAAAUAAACUUUUUGAAAAAGUUAGAGAAUUCUCACUUUUUGCAACUAUUUUUGCAACUUUUCCUAAAAGACUUUUACCUCAUCUCCACCGUUAUGUUCUUCAACCUUAGGGUUUCUGAAUGUGAAGACUUGAAGACUGAACGAGGUAAACAAUCAUUUCUUUUAUUGUGAUCACGAUGUUUUUUCGCUUUAAGAAACUGGAGAUGGGAUACCUCUUAAUCGAUAUUUCAUCUUUGCAACUGUAGUGGUAAGGUUGUCGUAGUUCUUUCCAUUUCCUUUCACGUAUGUCUCUUCUUUCCCCCUUUCCCAUUUCUUUAUUUUUGUGAUUUGUAUCAGUUCUAAUUAGUUUUAGUGAUGUAAGCUGAAUUUUUUUUGAUUUUUUAGGGGUUUACCCACCAAUUAUUUGUAUAUAUGUCUACAAUCAUUGCUUCCUUCAAUUGCAGAGUUCUAGACUUUAAAGAGCUUCAAGAAGACAAUCACGAAGAAAUCGACGGACUGGAACAUGGAUAGCAGCAGUGUCACAUCUAAUUGCACCGGGUUUAACUUACACACUAAUUGCACAUGUUGGAGUUUCGGUUGAACAUCCACAUCUCCAUCUCCAUGGCCAUGGCCAUGGCCAUUUUGAUGUCAUCGCCACCCUUAAACUUGAAUAUCAUGGAUCACAAACAAAGUAUAUGUAAAUCAUAAGGUAAAUGCAUAUUUCAGUCACUUGUGGGCCACUGUAUAUAUGAUUUACAAUUUCAGGAGUUGUUAGAAGAGUAAGCUUUUUUAUUUUAGGACUUCUGUUUCCAAAGAGAGAUGGGAGAAGUUAGAGGGUACAUUUGUGCUACCCGAGAAGCUUGACCGAGUUGUGUUAUAUUUAGAAGGGCCUGCCCCAAGAGUCAACAUUCUCAUAGAAUCCUUGGUGGUCACUUGUGCUACUUCUCACGUAAAUUCACCCUUCUUUUAAAUCACUUUGAAUUUAAUAAUCGUAUAUAUUUUCAACAAAUAAAAGAUAAAUAAGUCAUUUUUACAGGGUAUAGUUGAAAGAUAUGUUGUUAAAGAUGAAAACAUCAUAUUGAACCUUAACUUUGAACCAGUGGUUGAUUUGAUGUAGGUUUUUUACCUUGUUUAUUUUCAUUUCUCCUUUUUGUAGAUUUUUUUAUAGUUUAACAAUGAGUCUUUUUUGACAUUUCUAGGUAAAUAGCAUCGAGCAAUUAUGCAUUCAUUAUUCAAAUGAGAGAUUAAAACAACACCAUAAUCGUCAUUUGUUCAAGAUAGAAUAAGGGGCAACUAAUCUAAUUAAUCUUUUCUGGUAUAAUCUAACUAUUAUAUUCGAUAUUCGGUGUCUGAAUCAUGGUGUUCCUCUAUAAUGAAACCACUUAGGAAGAAUGUUGGACUUUGAUAUUGGUUGCAUCCUAGGCUACUCAACGUCUAGAUACUAAAAUGAACAUGAUUCUUUUGGCCAAGUCCAACCGGUUUCUGUACCUGGAGGUUUUGUCUAAGUCUUUCUUGCAACAUUUUUUUAAAUCUAAUGUUGUUUCUUGAAGAUGUAAUGAUAACUUUUUGUUUAAACAGUUGGGUUAAGAAGUUACAAACCGGAUGGUGUCUUUAUCUAUUAUUACUAUUAAGAGUUAAGACCUCAUUUUUUUUUUACCUUGCUAUCCUUUAACUAAUUUAUAUUGUAUUUUUUGUUUCUUUUAUAAAUAUUACCUAUGCUUCAUAAGAUCAUUUAACAUUAUAAUUUGGAUUUUUUAUUGUCUUUAUUAAGAAAAAUAAAACCAUGGAUUUUUUUAACUUUUUAAUUAUGGCCCAUCAAACAUUUUAAGAAUCUUUCUAUAGUUAUUACAUUUAGUGAAUUCAGCUUGGAACGAAACUUCACACUUUAAGAAACUUUCUAUAGUUUUAGGAAUAAGAUUUUUUUUUUUUUGACAUAGAGCAACUUUCUUAUAGUUUCCUAAAACAAAAAGCUUUAUGAUUUGAAAUAUUAAUUAUCUUCUCUAACUGCGUUUACCCUUAUUGUGUGAAUUUGUAAUUUUUGUAGGAUUCAACAAAAUGCGUUUUGUAGUUCUAAGAUGUGAUCCAAAAUUUAAUCGGGUAACUGUUGAGUGGAAGAACGAGGUUUGGAAACCCAAGUUUCUUUCAAUUUACUUUUGUGCUCUUUUAAGGCAUUUAGUUGAUUUGUGUACCAAAAGAUGGAGUAGUUUAUUUCCUUUUGGAAUAUUUUUUUUUAAUUUUAUUGUACUAUAUUUUAUGAGAAGAGAUGGUGUAUUGUUUACAAAGAAGCUGUUAACUAUAAUGGUAGAAAUAGCAUGUUGCUUUCAUUUUUGAUAUAAAAAAGAGCAUGGCUUCAUUUCUAAGUUAAAAAUAACACGUUCUUUUAUUUUUUAGGUAAAAAUAACAUUCCAUUUUUAUUUUUAAACCAAAAAUAGCAUGCUAUUUUCAU
Long non-coding RNA from Lactuca sativa (garden lettuce), 2508 nucleotides. RefSeq lists it as uncharacterized. The record is from RefSeq and is a predicted model, not a curated record. NCBI's taxonomy places the organism in Eukaryota, Viridiplantae, Streptophyta, Magnoliopsida, Asterales, Asteraceae.